This is a small nucleolar RNA of Balaenoptera musculus (blue whale), 150 nucleotides long. NCBI's taxonomy places the organism in Eukaryota, Metazoa, Chordata, Mammalia, Artiodactyla, Balaenopteridae. The record is from Ensembl.
CCUGCACAUUGUUAGAGCUUGGAGUUGAGGCAACUGGCCGAUGAACUCACAAGUGUAGGUAGUGUGCUAUGUGAGGGGCAAGCUUUUCGCUAACACCACAAGGGUCUCUGGCCCAAUGAGUGGCGUCUGAUAAUAAUACUUGCUACAAAU